ACAAAGAUCUCCUGAAGCUAUUAACUCGCGUGGUCAGAAAAAUCCCCCAAGCCCACGAGUUUCAAAAGAACCGUACAUGUCAUCUUCUUUGUCUGUCUCUUCUUCUUCAACGAGGAAGAAGCCUCCAAGAUCUCAUGAAGCUGCCAAUUCACGUGGUUACAACCAUACCCCAAGCCUGCGAGCUUCAAAAGAACCGUACAAGUCAUCUUCUUUAUCUGGUUCUUCUUCAACGAGGAAGAAGCCACCAAGAUCUCAUGAAGCUUCCAGUUCACGUGGUUACAAUCAUCCCCCAAGCCCGCGAGUUUCAAAAGAAUUGAACAAGACACCAUCUAUUUCUGGUUCUCCUUCUGCAACAAGGAAUAAAUCACCAAGAUCCUCAGAAAAUGUCAACUCAUGUGGUAAUUCAUCAUCCGGAGGCAAUUCUGUUGUCAAGAGAAAUACUGACACAAGCAUCAUAGUUUCCAAACAAGAAUCACCAAUAAAAACUCAGCUCGAUAUCAGUAAGGCUAAUAAGUUACUGGAAGAGGUGGUGACUCUACGGGAACAAGUUGGCGAAGAUGGUGAAGUGACAUAUCAGAUACCAAAGCAACAAUUUGAAGAUCUAAGCAAAGGGGUCCAUAAUGUUCUACAUGAUCUACAAUCUAUUAAAUUCGCAUUGAACAUACAAGAUAAUGAUGAUGCUUAGUUCUUGAUCUCUUAGAAUCUGACUACUAGACCUUUAAAAUCUUCAUCUUUUUUUGUUCCAACUCAUUCAAUAUAAAUACUUUGAAGUGGGAUCCAAAAGCUACACAAAAGGGUAGACACAGUAUAAUCUAAACAGUGCAAAAACUAAGACAAUGUUUGAGUUCUUACUAGCUUAAAGCCUGUAAAGAACCAUUCUUUUGAAACUACAAUCCUGUCAACUAAAGUCUGGAGCUUUACUGCUCGAAAACGGCUACAUUUACGCAUAACAAGCUGCACACUGCAUCAAAACAUGUCACAGAGACUUACUGUAAUGAUGAGUAACCAGGUUGGCUUGUUUGUGUCACCUUUUUACAACAAUCUCCUAUUGUUCUUACGAAUUUGGUGGCCACUCCUCAAGCAAUUAACCUCAAAAAUCUCCAAAAUCAAGACAAAGAAACCAAAAUGGUUGAAUCAAAGGUGGAGUAGAUCCACACAAGGAUCCAAAGCGUUAGCUAUCAGAAAGAUAAAACAGUGUUCUUCGUCAAAAUGUGUGAAGGUGAAGAGACUUGAGAGAGUUCAGAGUUAUAUUGUAUUAAACACGUGGCAUUUAUAAUUUCAGAUUUUGUUUUAUGAUAGAAAGAAAUAGAGAGUGAUUAGUUUACAUAAUAAUGAGCUAAUGACAAAUAAUAAAAAAUUCUUGAUGAGAAGAUCAGAUUCUCUCAAAUGCUCUCCCAUGUGACAUGUGUGGAGAUGAUGAAUUUAUUAAUCUUCCUUGUAUCAUUGACCUAUUAUUGCUCUCCUUUUCUCCUUAAAGGUUUCAUUUUUAACCCUCUUUAAGAAUUUUGUUUUGUUGAGGUUGAUCCAAAUUAUUUCUUUCUGGGGUAAAGUCUAGAUUUUUAUGUUCUUCUGAUCCAAAGUUUCUAUUUUUGUUAUCUGGGUUUUGUUCUGUUCUCAGUUUCGUCACGUUUUCCCCUUGAAAAAACCAAUUUUGUUUUUGAGUGAAGUUUCUAGCUACUCCUCUAUAGCUUUCAAACGUUGACCAAAUUUGUUUGUUCUCUCUCGUUUUCAUCGACGACUCUUGACUUUUCUGAGAAGUUGGGUUUAUCUUUUGAUCGAAAUCGACAAAAGAAGAAUCUGAUCUGCAAUUUCCUUACAGGGUAUAUAUAUAUACUCCUCUCUUUGGAUUAUGGGUUUGGAAUCUGUAGCUUUCUCUUGAUAGUGAAUGUUCUAUCUUGAUCAGGAA
RNAcentral lists this long non-coding RNA (1906 nucleotides) under Arabidopsis thaliana (thale cress). RNAcentral's name for it is "long non-coding RNA (ATHA_LNC000542)". Lineage: Eukaryota; Viridiplantae; Streptophyta; Magnoliopsida; Brassicales; Brassicaceae. The record is from RNAcentral.